GACGAACGAUGGCGGCGUGCCUAAUACAUGCAAGUUGAGCGAUGAAGCUUGGUGCUUGCACCAAUUUGAAGAGCAGCGAACGGGUGAGUAACGCGUGGGGAAUCUGCCUUUGAGCGGGGGACAACAUUUGGAAACGAAUGCUAAUACCGCAUAACAACUUUAAACAUAAGUUUUAAGUUUGAAAGAUGCAAUUGCAUCACUCAAAGAUGAUCCCGCGUUGUAUUAGCUAGUUGGUGAGGUAAAGGCUCACCAAGGCGAUGAUACAUAGCCGACCUGAGAGGGUGAUCGGCCACAUUGGGACUGAGACACGGCCCAAACUCCUACGGGAGGCAGCAGUAGGGAAUCUUCGGCAAUGGACGAAAGUCUGACCGAGCAACGCCGCGUGAGUGAAGAAGGUUUUCGGAUCGUAAAACUCUGUUGGUAGAGAAGAACGUUGGUGAGAGUGGAAAGCUCAUCAAGUGACGGUAACUACCCAGAAAGGGACGGCUAACUACGUG
RNAcentral lists this ribosomal RNA (497 nucleotides) under uncultured bacterium. RNAcentral describes it as "partial 16S ribosomal RNA". It matches the Rfam family "Bacterial small subunit ribosomal RNA", at positions 28 to 507 of the family's 1533-position model. The record is from RNAcentral.